AGCGAACGCUGGCGGCAGGCUUAACACAUGCAAGUCGAGCGGGCACUUUCGGGUGUCAGCGGCGGACGGGUGAGUAACGCGUGGGAACGUGCCCUCUGGUUCGGAAUCACUCAGGGAAACUUGAGCUAAUACCGGAUACGCCCUUUUGGGGAAAGGCUUGCUGCCGGAGGAUCGGCCCGCGUCUGAUUAGCUAGUUGGUGAGGUAACGGCUCACCAAGGCGACGAUCAGUAGCUGGUCUGAGAGGAUGAUCAGCCACACUGGGACUGAGACACGGCCCAGACUCCUACGGGAGGCAGCAGUGGGGAAUAGUGGACAAUGGGCGCAAGCCUGAUCCAGCCAUGACGCGUGAGUGAUGAAGGCAUUAGGGUUGUAAAGCUCUUUUAUCCGGGACGAUAAUGACGGUACCGGAGGAAUAAGCCCCGGCUAACUUCGUG
This 435-nucleotide ribosomal RNA is filed under the name uncultured bacterium. Its description in RNAcentral is "partial 16S ribosomal RNA". It matches the Rfam family "Bacterial small subunit ribosomal RNA", at positions 29 to 507 of the family's 1533-position model. The record is from RNAcentral.